UGUUAAAAAUUUUAUUCAUUUUUAUUGUUAAAAACUAUCAUGAUUAACAGAAUAAUCAGACAAUUAAAAGUGGUGUCUCACAUGUACCACAUUUUAACAUAUAAAAACCGAUUUUUAAAAGUAUAAAUUGAUAUAAUAUUUAACA
This is a non-coding RNA of Gossypium raimondii (Peruvian cotton), 145 nucleotides long. Lineage: Eukaryota; Viridiplantae; Streptophyta; Magnoliopsida; Malvales; Malvaceae. The record is from Rfam.